GCCAGGCAUGGUGGUGCGUGCCUGUAAUCCCAGCUACUCGGGAGGCUGAGGCAGGAGAAUCGCUUGAACCCAGGAGGUGGAGGUUGCAGGGAGCCGAGACUGCACCACUGCACUCCAGUCUGGGUGACAGAGUGAGACUCAGCCUCAA
Papio anubis (olive baboon) is the source of this 148-nucleotide unclassified non-coding RNA. It matches the Rfam family "Metazoan signal recognition particle RNA". Rfam says of the family: The signal recognition particle (SRP) is a universally conserved ribonucleoprotein. Lineage: Eukaryota; Metazoa; Chordata; Mammalia; Primates; Cercopithecidae. The record is from Ensembl.